GAUACCAGGGUUCCAAAGACACGCUUUUCAUGCUUGCAAGAAAAAGCGUGCCCUUGGAACCCGCCAAAACAUGAGAAAGUAGCCCGAUUAGGGCGGAUUUCGAAUGUUUUGAGGAUUGCGAGAGCGCUUCUGCGCGGAACAAUCCGUCGGUAUC
RNAcentral lists this small RNA (154 nucleotides) under uncultured Dorea sp. Its description in RNAcentral is "Clostridiales-1 RNA". It matches the Rfam family "Clostridiales-1 RNA". Lineage: Bacteria; Bacillati; Bacillota; Clostridia; Lachnospirales; Lachnospiraceae. The record is from RNAcentral.